GACGAACGCUGGCGGCGUGCUUAACACAUGCAAGUCGAACGGAAAGGCAGUGCUUUUGUCGGGUGCUCGAGUGGCGAACGCGUGCGUAACACGUGAGUAACCUGCCCUUGACUUUGGGGUAAAUCCUGGAAAAUGGGGCGAAUACCGGAUAGGAGCUCCUGAUGCGUGGGGGGGGUUGGUAAGUUUCGGCGGUUGGGGAUGGACUCGCGGCUUAUCAGCUUGUUGGUGGGGUAGUGGCUUACCAAGGCUUUGACGGGUAGCCGGCCUGAGAGGGUGACCGGCCACAUUGGGACUGAGAUACGGCCCAGACUCCUACGGGAGGCAGCAGUGGGGAAUAUUGCACAAUGGGCGGAAGCCUGAUGCAGCAACGCCGCGUGCGGGAUGACGGCCUUCGGGUUGUAAACCGCUUUCGCCUGUGACGAAGCGUGAGUGACGGUAAUGGGUAAAGAAGCACCGGCUAACUACGUG
RNAcentral lists this ribosomal RNA (468 nucleotides) under uncultured bacterium. RNAcentral's name for it is "partial 16S ribosomal RNA". It matches the Rfam family "Bacterial small subunit ribosomal RNA", at positions 28 to 507 of the family's 1533-position model. The record is from RNAcentral.